AUUUGCAUGGAUGGACCCUCCCACUCUCAGAUAUGAAGAGGGUCAGGGAGACAUUUGGGGAAGCUCUGCUUCAGCUGUGGGCACAGAAGGCAGCACUCAGGACAAUCUCCAGCAUGGCCUGGGCUCCUCUCCUCCUCACUGUCCUGGCUCACUGCACAGGAUGCUGGGCCCAGUCUGUGCUGACUCAGCCACCCUCAGUGUCUGGGAACCCUGGGCAGAGGGUCACCAUCUCCUGUUCUGGAAGCAGUUCCAAUAUCGGAAGUAAGUAUGUAAGCUGGUACCAGCAGUUCCCAGGAACGGCCCCCAAACUCCUCAUCUAUGAAAGUAAUAAGCGACCCUCAGGGGUUUCUGACCGAUUCUCUGGCUCCAAGUCUGGCAACUCAGCCUCCCUGGCCAUCACUGGACUCCAGGCUGAGGACGAGGCCGAUUAUUACUGCUCAGCAUGGGAUAGCAGCCUGAGUGCUCGCACAGUGCUCCAGGCCAAUGGGGAACUGAGACAAGAACCCCCUUCCUCCUCUGCCGGGAAGCUGAGUCCCUAGCAGCUGCUGCUCAGG
Non-coding RNA from Sapajus apella (tufted capuchin), 554 nucleotides. Lineage: Eukaryota; Metazoa; Chordata; Mammalia; Primates; Cebidae. The record is from the annotation of a RefSeq genome assembly.